This 266-nucleotide long non-coding RNA is filed under the name Linum usitatissimum (flax). Its description in RNAcentral is "long non-coding RNA (LUSI_LNC001865)". The record is from RNAcentral. Lineage: Eukaryota; Viridiplantae; Streptophyta; Magnoliopsida; Malpighiales; Linaceae.
AAACUGAAAAGUGAUAUUUCAUAUGAGAUUUGACCGAUCCAACCGGAACAGAACAACACUGCUUAACAGAACACUGGAAUUUACAGCACAACUCAUUCAUAUGGUGAUGGGUCUGUAAAUGGAACAAAACCUUUCAUCCUAACCAAAGAUUUCUCCCAGGUACAAACACCAAUCAAAAGUAAACCUUCCAAAACCCUACUACUAAAUAACAGUUUUUGCAGGCCUUGUUUUUCCCUCCCUACUAUGUAUUACACUGGCAUCAGCAU